RNAcentral lists this long non-coding RNA (257 nucleotides) under Vigna radiata. Its description in RNAcentral is "long non-coding RNA (VRAD_LNC000511)". The record is from RNAcentral. Lineage: Eukaryota; Viridiplantae; Streptophyta; Magnoliopsida; Fabales; Fabaceae.
UUGUUUUUCGAAGAUAGGAAAAAAAAUGAAAAAAUGAAAAAAAGAAAAAAAGAAAAGCAAAAGUUGCAGUGUCAGACUUUUCCGAGGUCAAAUGUUAAAUNAAAAAUAACAAUUUUGACGUUUCUCUCAAGACGUUUGUGCACAUGCUGCUUGAAAACCUCCGCCCUUCACUUUUCCAAAAUAAAGGAUUUCCCUUCAACAAACAUCGUCGCUGCCCUCAAUAACAAAGUAAACCUUUUCACUGGGGCAGAUUGGCU